Molecule: ribosomal RNA, 374 nt
Filed under: uncultured prokaryote
Description: bacterial SSU rRNA
Rfam family: Bacterial small subunit ribosomal RNA
Source: RNAcentral
UACGUAGGGGGCGAGCGUUGUUCGGAUUUACUGGGCGUAAAGAGCGCGUAGGUGGUUCGAUAAGUCGGAGGUGAAAGCCCUCGGCUCAACCGAGGAUCCGCGUCCGAUACUGUUGGACUUGAGUGCGGGAGAGGAGAGCGGAAUUCCCAGUGUAGCGGUGAAAUGCGUAGAUACUGGGAGGAACACCAGUGGCGAAGGCGGCUCUCUGGACCGUUACUGACACUGAGGCGCGAAAGCUAGGGGAGCAAACGGGAUUAGAUACCCCGGUAGUCCUAGCCGUAAACGAUGGGCACUAGGUGUGGGAGGUAUCGACCCCUUCCGUGCCGCAGCUAACGCAUUAAGUGCCCCGCCUGGGGAGUACGGCCGCAAGGUUG